AGAGUUGAUCAGGCUCAGGAUGAACGCUAGCUACAGGCUUAACACAUGCAAGUCGAGGGGCAGCAUUGGAGUAGCAAUACUCAGAUGGCGACCGGCGCACGGGUGAGUAACACGUAUCCAACCUGCCGCUUACUCGGGGAUAGCCUUUCGAAAGAAAGAUUAAUACCCGAUGGUAUAAAGAGUUCGCAUGUUCUCUUUAUUAAAGAAUUUCGGUAAGCGAUGGGGAUGCGUUCCAUUAGAUAGUUGGCGGGGUAACGGCCCACCAAGUCUACGAUGGAUAGGGGUUCUGAGAGGAAGGUCCCCCACAUUGGAACUGAGACACGGUCCAAACUCCUACGGGAGGCAGCAGUGAGGAAUAUUGGUCAAUGGACGAGAGUCUGAACCAGCCAAAGUAGCGUGAAGGAUGACUGCCCUAUGGGUUGUAAACUUCUUUUAUAAGGGAAUAAAGUGAGGGACGUGUCCCUUUUUGUAUGUACCUUAUGAAUAAGGAUCGGCUAACUCCGUGCCAGCCGCGGC
Molecule: ribosomal RNA, 516 nt
Filed under: uncultured bacterium
Lineage: Bacteria
Description: bacterial SSU rRNA
Rfam family: Bacterial small subunit ribosomal RNA
Source: RNAcentral